CUGCGGAAACAAUUGUACAGUUACUUUAAUACCAUGAUUUUAUAUUUAAAUACAAUACAGAGGUUUUUACAAGAAAAAAUGACUACUUAUAGCUCUGAACCGGAUGAAUAUUGGCGCUAUGAAGGAGAAACAGUGCGUAACAGAGGCUAUUAACUAUUCUUACUUCAGCAAGGACGCAAAAGGUGACAAAUACAGUGACCAUAAACAUAACCACAAGACUGAGUUUCCUGUUAUGAACAUAAAAUGUUUUCCUCUAAAAAACAAAGGAACUUACAGAAUACAGCUUUGAAUUCCUCGUUGUCACAAAAUGUUUAUACCAUCAACGGAUCGUCUAUGACUUUUUUCAAUUACAGUAGGCAAGGCAGUGACUAGGCUAUACCAAGCGACUGAAGUAUUUAUCAUGUUUGGCAUGUCGGCCUUAGGCCUACUGGAAAAGUCUUCAAAAACCCAAGAUUUGAUGAAGACUCGACCAAAAUGUGAUGUGUUCCAUUUAGGGUUUACUUUAAUUUUGUUAUAAUACUCUAUUGUUUGGGAAGUGCAUAAAAGCUUUUGCAUAAUAUGCUAUAUAAAUGUAAAGUUAAUUAAUAUUAUUUAUUUAUUUAAUAUUAUCAUCAACCUCAUCAUCAUUAUCAUCCUCAUAUAUUCAUUAUCAUUACUAUAAUUAUUAUUAGUAUUAUUAUUAUCAUUAUUAACAUCAUCAAUAAUAAUAAUAUUGUAGAUAAUUUUAAAACUGUUGUUCCAACAUAAUAAUUUCCACUUACUGUAGAAGUUUUCGAAACAGGAAAUUGAAAAAACAAAACAAUUAAAAUACACUCACAGUUUUGUUAAAACUGCGUUUUUAAAUCAUUUAAAUUUACGAUUUUUCUUAUUUAAAAUAUAUUUGUUCAUUCUCACAAGAUAAUGUAAUUAGCCCUUCAGCAUAGAGUAGGCUACAAAGAUGCAAGACUUCGCAAAUGGUCGUGAGAAAAAUGAUCAUGGUAUUUGGGUAGAUUUAAAUACAGGACACUGGGAAUAAAGCCGGGUACUCAUCGUCGACCGAAGCAAUUCCAUUGAUUACGCAACACGACAAGGUGCGCGCAACGGAUCGUUUUUAAAAAUCCGCUCAGUCUCCCAUCGACAUUUAACAGACGGCUUCAUGCCGUCAAGCGCUCACGAGGAGUACAGAUGGAUUUGUCUGCUGAACGAUGAAGCACGACGAAGUGUGUGUCGGGCUUUUGAACUUUUCGUUGAUUAGGCCUAGGCCUAUAUAUACUUCACUUACAUAUAAGGGGUUUAAUCAGUAAUAUGCUCUUUACAGAACGCUUACAUUCAUGUUGCUGAAUUAUUUUUUGCGUUUCUUAGCCAGAGUGAAGACCUUUAGACUGUUAUAAUACUGUAAAAUUAUUGUAUAUAUUAAUUAUAACAUUAUUAAGCCUUGCUAUAGUGUAGGUCUAGGCAUAUUAUAUUUCAUUGACUCCAUUUAUAAAACUGUGUCACGAAUGAAUAAAUCAUAAUACCAAGAA
This is a long non-coding RNA of Anneissia japonica, 1502 nucleotides long. RefSeq lists it as uncharacterized. The record is from RefSeq and is a predicted model, not a curated record. The transcript has 2 exons. NCBI's taxonomy places the organism in Eukaryota, Metazoa, Echinodermata, Crinoidea, Comatulida, Comatulidae.